CAGUAGCCGCGGUAAUACGGAGGGUGCAAGCGUUAAUCGGAAUUACUGGGCGUAAGGCGCACGCAGGCGGUCUGACAAGUCAGAUGUGAAAUCCCCGGGCUUAACCUGGGAACUGCAUUUGAAACUGUCAGGCUGGAGUCUUGUAGAGGGGGGUAGAAUUCCAGGUGUAGCGGUGAAAUGCGUAGAGAUCUGGAGGAAUACCGGUGGCGAAGGCGGCCCCCUGGACAAAGACUGACGCUCAGGUGCGAAAGCGUGGGGAGCAAACAGGAUUAGAUACCCCAGUAGUCCCUGUCUCUUAUAC
RNAcentral lists this ribosomal RNA (301 nucleotides) under uncultured bacterium. Its description in RNAcentral is "partial 16S ribosomal RNA". It matches the Rfam family "Bacterial small subunit ribosomal RNA", at positions 509 to 807 of the family's 1533-position model. The record is from RNAcentral.